CAGUCGCCGCGGUAAUACGUAGGGUGCGAGCGUUAAUCGGAAUUACUGGGCGUAAAGCGUGCGCAGGCGGUUCGUUAAGACAGAUGUGAAAUCCCCGGGCUUAACCUGGGAACUGCAUUUGUGACUGGCGAGCUAGAGUAUGGCAGAGGGGGGUAGAAUUCCACGUGUAGCAGUGAAAUGCGUAGAGAUGUGGAGGAAUACCGAUGGCGAAGGCAGCCCCCUGGGCCAAUACUGACGCUCAUGCACGAAAGCGUGGGGAGCAAACAGGAUUAGAUACCCGAGUAGUCCCUGUCUCUUAUAA
RNAcentral lists this ribosomal RNA (301 nucleotides) under uncultured bacterium. RNAcentral describes it as "partial 16S ribosomal RNA". It matches the Rfam family "Bacterial small subunit ribosomal RNA", at positions 509 to 809 of the family's 1533-position model. The record is from RNAcentral.